CAAGUAGUGAGGAAGCGGGGAUGACGUCAAAUCAGCACGGCCCUUACGUCCAGGGCUACACACGUGCUACAAUGGCCGAUACAGAGGGCAGCUACCUGGUGACAGGAUGCAAAUCUACCAAAGUCGGUCUCAGUUCGGAUCGGAGUCUGCAACCCGACUCCGUGAAGUUGGAUUCGCUAGUAAUCGCGCAUCAGCCAUGGCGCGGUGAAUACGUUCCCGGGCCUU
This 225-nucleotide ribosomal RNA is filed under the name uncultured Sphingobacteriales bacterium. Its description in RNAcentral is "partial 16S ribosomal RNA". It matches the Rfam family "Bacterial small subunit ribosomal RNA", at positions 1159 to 1382 of the family's 1533-position model. Lineage: Bacteria; Pseudomonadati; Bacteroidota; Sphingobacteriia; Sphingobacteriales. The record is from RNAcentral.